Molecule: long non-coding RNA, 521 nt
Organism: Peromyscus californicus insignis
Lineage: Eukaryota; Metazoa; Chordata; Mammalia; Rodentia; Cricetidae
Exons: 3
Source: RefSeq, a predicted model, not a curated record
ACAGACAUCAAUAUUAUUCUUUGGGCAAUGAACCCAUACAUUGACAGGGGCCGGGAAGCUGCUAUAUACAAGGAAGAGCAAGGUGCGGCCUUCACCAGAGGUAGCUGAUGAAACGUAGACUGGGUGACUGAGCCCGAAUGUCUCAUGGAUUACUUCACACUUUGAAAGGGAAGGUGCAUUCCCAUCAUCUCCAGUUGCUGAUACACAGGGUCUCUGAGGAUCUUUGGCUGUGUUUGGAGACAUUUUUGUGUAUCACAAACCAAAAUGUGCAGUGAGUGGGGAGAAGCCCGGAAUGCUACCAGACAACGUUCAUUGCACAGGACAGUCACCAUGGCCCUCAUGACAGUUCCUCAGAUCCUGAAACCCCAAGAGUGUCAAGAAGCCAGCAGUCAUAUCUCAGCUCUCUGGACUUUUGUUCCAUAAGUGAAGGAAUGGAAUGAAGUAAAAAAGAAAUACCACAUGACCUGGUUGCCAGCGCACUAAGGUAGGAAGGAGGUCUUUAGGUACAAAUCGGGGAAUUC